GAUGAACGCUGACAGAAUGCUUAACACAUGCAAGUCAACUUGAAUUUGGGUUUUUAACUUAGGUUUGGGUGGCGGACGGGUGAGUAACGCGUAAAGAACUUGCCUCACAGCUAGGGACAACAUUUGGAAACGAAUGCUAAUACCUAAUAUUAUGAUAAUAGGGCAUCCUAUAAUUAUGAAAGCUAUAAGCGCUGUGAGAGAGCUUUGCGUCCCAUUAGCUAGUUGGAGAGGUAACGGCUCACCAAGGCGAUGAUGGGUAGCCGGCCUGAGAGGGUGAUCGGCCAAAAGGGGACUGAGACACGGCCCGUACUCCUACGGGAGGCAGCAGUGGGGAAUAUUGGACAAUGGACCGAGAGUCUGAUCCAGCAAUUCUGUGUGCACGAUGAAGUUUUUCGGAAUGUAAAGUGCUUUCAGUUGGGAAGAAACAAAUGACGGUACCAACAGAAGAAGUGACGGCUAAAUACGUG
Molecule: ribosomal RNA, 467 nt
Filed under: uncultured bacterium
Lineage: Bacteria
Description: partial 16S ribosomal RNA
Rfam family: Bacterial small subunit ribosomal RNA
Source: RNAcentral